GCCACAGGUAGGCUGUCCGUGUGGAGUACAAUGGAGGGAACAGGAAGAGUAAGAAGAGUGAGAAUUAGAGGAGGCCUAGGAAGAGGACCUAGCAAGCCUGGGCCU
Molecule: long non-coding RNA, 105 nt
Organism: Alosa sapidissima (American shad)
Lineage: Eukaryota; Metazoa; Chordata; Actinopteri; Clupeiformes; Clupeidae
Exons: 3
Source: RefSeq, a predicted model, not a curated record